RNAcentral lists this ribosomal RNA (654 nucleotides) under uncultured archaeon. RNAcentral's name for it is "bacterial SSU rRNA". It matches the Rfam family "Archaeal small subunit ribosomal RNA", at positions 272 to 928 of the family's 1478-position model. The record is from RNAcentral.
GGCCGUGAGAGCGGAAGCCCGGAGAUGGGCACUGAGACAAGGGCCCAGGUCCUACGGGGCGCAGCAGUCGCGAAAACUUUGCAAUACACGAAAGUGUGACAGGGUCAUCCCGAGUGCCGACCGCUGAGGUUGGCUUUUACCCAGUCUAGAAAGCUGGGGGAAUAAGGAGAGGGCAAGUCUGGUGUCAGCCGCCGCGGUAAUACCAGCUCUCCGAGUGGUGUGGACGUUUAUUGGGCCUAAAGCAUCCGUAGCUGGCUGAACAAGUCCCCUGUUAAACCCACCGAUUUAAUCGUUGGUGUGCGGGGGAUACUGCUCGGCUAGGGGACGAGAGAGGCAGACGGUAUUCCCGGGGUAGGGGUGAAAUCCUAUAAUCCCGAGAAGACCACCAGUGGCGAAGGCUGUCUGCUAGAACGCGCCCGACGGUGAGGGAUGAAAGCUGGGGGAGCGAACCGGAUUAGAUACCCGGGUAGUCCUAGCCGUAAACGAUACUCGCUAGGCGUCGGCCACGGUGCGACCGUUGUCGGUGCCGUAGGGAAGCCGUGAAGCGAGCCACCUGGGAAGUACGGCCGCAAGGCUGAAACUUAAAGGAAUUGGCGGGGGAGCACCACAACGGGUGGAGCUUGCGGUUUAAUUGGAGUCAACGCCGGAAAGGGC